GUUGGCGUUUAUUUUUGUUGCACUUCAGUGUUCGCGUUGUUCCAUUUGGAUUUUCUCUUACAGUUUAUGUAUUUCCUUCGGUUUUGGUUUGGAAUCCGGAUUUGUUCUCUCUAAAUCUAUUAAUGAUGGUUGAACAGCGAUAUACUUCUGUUGUCUUUAUUAGUCUUUAAGAUAUACCUCAAACUUGACUAUAUAGUAUAUUGUAUUACAAUUGUAUAUCACCCUGAUAAAGCCUUUGCAUGGUAAAUUAGUUUUUUAAAAGCUAACAACGAGCCUGCGUUGUGG
RNAcentral lists this long non-coding RNA (285 nucleotides) under Mytilus galloprovincialis (Mediterranean mussel). The record is from RNAcentral. Lineage: Eukaryota; Metazoa; Mollusca; Bivalvia; Mytilida; Mytilidae.